UUCCACGGGCCCCGGCCACUCCACUUUAUGGAUGGGGAACCGUGAAAAAAGGAGGAAAAGUUCAAGCCCAGGCUCGGGCUGCGGCAGCGUGGAGACCUGCCGUAAUGCGGGCGGCGCAAGCCCCCGCGAGGGCACAGCAGGCGGAGGCCCUGUGUCCGGAGUCGGAAAACAUGGCA
RNAcentral lists this non-coding RNA (176 nucleotides) under unclassified sequences. Its description in RNAcentral is "malK-I RNA". It matches the Rfam family "malK-I RNA". The record is from RNAcentral.